Molecule: ribosomal RNA, 278 nt
Filed under: Glomeromycota sp.
Lineage: Eukaryota; Fungi; Glomeromycota
Description: partial small subunit ribosomal RNA
Rfam family: Eukaryotic small subunit ribosomal RNA
Source: RNAcentral
AGCAGCCGCGGUAAUUCCAGCUCCAAUAGCGUAUAUUAAAGUUGUUGCAGUUAAAAAGCUCGUAGUUGAAUUUCGGGGUCAAUAUAUCGGUCGUGCCAUCGGUACGUACUGGUAUCAUUGAUCUCUCCUUUCUGACGAACCAUGAUGUCAUUAAUUUGGUGUUAUGGGAAGUUAGGACUGUUACUUUGAAAAAAUUAGAGUGUUUAAAGCAGGCUUUAGCUUGAAUACAUUAGCAUGGAAUAAUGAAAUAGGACGUUCGAACCUAUUUUGUUGGUUUU